CCUACGGGAGGCAGCAGUGGGGAAUAUUGGACAAUGGGCGAAAGCCUGAUCCAGCCAUGCCGCGUGUGUGAAGAAGGCCUUCGGGUUGUAAAGCACUUUCAGUGGGGAAGAAAGCCUUGGGGCUAAUACCCUCGAGGAAGGACAUCACCCACAGAAGAAGCACCGGCUAACUCCGUGCCAGCAGCCGCGGUAAUACGGAGGGUGCGAGCGUUAAUCGGAAUUACUGGGCGUAAAGCGCGCGUAGGCGGUCUGAUAAGCCGGUUGUGAAAGCCCCGGGCUCAACCUGGGAACGGCAUCCGGAACUGUCAGGCUAGAGUGCAGGAGAGGAAGGUAGAAUUCCCGGUGUAGCGGUGAAAUGCGUAGAGAUCGGGAGGAAUACCAGUGGCGAAGGCGGCCUUCUGGACUGACACUGACGCUGAGGUGCGAAAGCGUGGGUAGCAAACAGGAUUAGAUACCCGAGUAGUU
RNAcentral lists this ribosomal RNA (465 nucleotides) under Vreelandella stevensii. RNAcentral describes it as "partial 16S ribosomal RNA". It matches the Rfam family "Bacterial small subunit ribosomal RNA", at positions 338 to 795 of the family's 1533-position model. Lineage: Bacteria; Pseudomonadati; Pseudomonadota; Gammaproteobacteria; Oceanospirillales; Halomonadaceae. The record is from RNAcentral.